AUCAGGAGAUCCUACUUGGUAUGUGUAGA
Molecule: non-coding RNA, 29 nt
Filed under: Rattus norvegicus (Norway rat)
Lineage: Eukaryota; Metazoa; Chordata; Mammalia; Rodentia; Muridae
Source: RNAcentral